Molecule: long non-coding RNA, 1186 nt
Filed under: Heterocephalus glaber (naked mole-rat)
Lineage: Eukaryota; Metazoa; Chordata; Mammalia; Rodentia; Bathyergidae
Description: lncRNA (ENSHGLG00000039784.1)
Source: RNAcentral
ACUCGCCCCAGACACUUCUGUCAUUUGUUGGGGUGACUAAGGAUUCUUUCAACUGUCCUCUCAUAUCCGACGUGUUCUGUAGGACAAAGCGAUGUUCGGGUUCUGGGUGAGGUGAGCAAGUCAGGCUGUACCCAAAACCAUCUGCAUAUGAGCAUUUCUCGUAUUUGCCUAGAAAGAUCCCGGAAGGGCCUAAAAAGACCUCGCAGCCUCCAGUAACUUAUUAUCCCCAUGCAUUCUGAUUAUCAUCUUUCAAGCCAAUGACUCCCAAGGACUGUCCCCGGCUCAGAACAUGGGUUCCCCUCUAAGUCCCAUAUUUUGCCUGCAGGAACCCCCCCCCAGGAACCUUGAAUUCGCAGGUCCAGAUGAAAACUCGGGAUCUGAAACAUAACAUCUGUUCCUCUGACCCACUUCUGAGGAGAUGGCAUCACCAUAGCCAGAAAUGGGUGUCUGUGGUCCCCAUCCAGCUCCAUCAACAUCCACCCUAAGCCCUUGAUGAUUUGUAAUCAGUGACAGUCCCAAGAACCAGCUGCUUUCUCCACCUGAGCCCCCUCACAUCCCUUCCUCCAUCCCCCACUUAGACCUCGCACCUCCUCAGGGUGGGUGUGAGUUCCUGGAGCCUUCUCAGCCUGCAGGUACAACGGAUUGAGACAAGCUGUGUCUUCUGCUCCUCAGCACGGGAUCGAACUUGGGACCUUGUGCUUGCAAGGCAGGCGCCAGAACCACUGAGCUAAAUCCCCAGCCCAAAGAGUAGGUACUUUUUAAGAUUUCCAUAGACACUAAAUAUUGCUUCCCAAAGAACAUGUACCCAUCUCUAACGCAGCCACUAGAAUAUGAAGAUUGUGCCGGGCGUGGUGGCACACCUGUAAUCCUACCACUCAGGAGGCUGAGGCAGGAGGAUCACCAGGAGAUCAAGGCCAGCCUGGACUACAUAGGGAAAUCCUGUCACAGCCAAACAGACAAAAAUAUGAAGAUUGUUCCUCUGUCAUGAAUACCACCAAUCAACAAGCUCUGGGGAUUGAAUCGGGAUUUACACCCACUAGGCCAGCACUCUGCCACAAAGACUCAUCCCCAGCCCUUCCCUCCUGCUUGUUUCCUUGAUUCAUUGACCUUCAUUGAUCUUUGGAGGCCUUUAGACUUUUUUUUUGUUACUGGGCAUCAAACUCAGGACCUUGUGCUUGCCAGUCAG